AUGAAGUCAGAAGCCCCCGCCCCCAUCGCCGCGUCUCCUGGCAUGGAAAAACAGACUCGGGGCCGCUUGGGGCCUCCUGAGGUCUCAACAACGUGGCGGAGGCCAAAGCAGGCCGCUGCCCUCCAACGCGUUCAGGUGCUGGGAGCAUCUUGCCCGGCCCGGUUGCGGCAGCAGCCUCCCAAGACUCAGGCAGGCCGCAGGGUCCUGCCCGGCGCCCGGGCCCUCAGAGGGCUGGCUCCGGGGCGACCCGAGCCAUCCGAACCUCUAGCAAACGAGCAUCCCCCACCGAGAGCCGAGGCCAGAAAGGACGCGCCGUCUUCCCACAAUGCUUUUCUACGACUGGAACGACCCAUUGCUAGAGGGGUGCGGGGAGGACGGACUGCACCAUCGACAUUCGCGCGCCCUCGCCAGACGCCGCCGUGUGGCCGGAGGGCGAAUUGCCCAGUGAUUGGCAGAGGGGCGGGGCGGCACGGGCAGAGUUGUGAGGGCGCGGCUUCUCACUCCCAGCGCCGGCCGGUGGAGCCCAGCGAGCAGUUCUUUAUGCGGGAGGGGAGGUUUUUUCCCAUUGUGGAUACUCAACCACCCCUCCUCCCAGUGUCAAGAGCACACGGUCAGCGCUGAGCUGCGGGUGUAGUCCAGAGGACCGGAGACCUCGUGUUCUGAGGAGGAGAGACAGAGCUCACCGUCUCCAGCUGAGGAAGAGUAAGGUCAUUAAUCCAGAAAUAUUUAUUGAGUAUAUACUGUGCUUCAUGCUCUAUUCUAAAUGCCUGAGAACCAGGUGUGAAUGAGACAGAGUUCCUGUCUUACAUUCUGUUUCUGUGAGAAAGAUACGAAACAGGUAACGUGCACCCCGUAAGUUCAUCAGUGUAAGUGCCAAGACGGAAACAAAGGAGGCGAAAACGUGAUAGGGCCGCGCAGUCCGGUAGGAAUCGAGUGCGAACCACGAAUGUCUUAAGUUUUCGAAAUGCACGUUAAAAGGAACAAGUUAGGAGAAGGAAACGGCAACCCACUCCAGUGUUCUUGCCUGGAGAAUCCCAGGGACAGAGGAGCCUGGUGGGCUGCCGUCUAUGGGGUCGCACAGAGUCGGACACGACUGAAGUGACUUAGCAUGCAUGCAUGCAUGCAUUGGAGAAGGAAAUGGCAACCCACUCCAGUAUUCUUGCCUGGAGAAUCCCAGGGACAGAGGAGCCUGGUGGGCUUCCGUCUACAGGGUCGCACAGAGUCGGACACGACUGAUGCCACUUAGCAGCAGCAGCAGCAUAGAACUGGGGGAGUGGGAAUGGAUGGCUAGGGAGGUGACAGCUUAAAGAUAUGGGGUUUCUUUUGAGAUGAAAAUGUUCUAAAUGGUGAUGGUUGCAUAUAUCUGUGAAUAUGUCUAAAAACCAUUGAAUCAUAUACUUUAAAUGGGUGCAUUGUAUGAUGUCAAUUAUAUCUCAAUAAAACCUUUUUUAAGUUAAAAAAAAAGGAACAAGUUAAAUUCUGAGUUGCAAACUGUGGUAAGUAUUAUCAUUUAAACAUGUAGUUACUAUACAAUUAUUAAUGAUAUACAUUGCAUUCUUUUAUUCCUAUGAAGUCUUCGAAAUCCAGUGUAUUUAUUUCUAGUACAUUUCAAUUCAGAUGAGUCACGUUUCUGGUGCUCAGAAGCAGGCCCUGGUCAGCGUGGCUGGAGCCGCCAGAGGAGUGCAGGCUGGCAUCAGAUGCGGCGGGAGAGACAGGCGGGAACAAAUCAUAUAGGGAUUUUACCUGUGGUAAGGGGUUGGGAUUUUAUGCUGAAAUUUUAAAAUUGAUUUUUAGCACUGAAAGAAAGUAGAGGUGGUUCAUUGGUUUCUUGCGGAUCACCAUAACUUAUGGGAGGGAUGGAAACUGUAGUGAUUUGGACUGUGUGGUUUCCUUGCACCCCCAAGUCCUAGUAGAGAAGCACCAGAGACUUCAGCCCAGCACCUUUCUUUGUUUCUUUGAAGCUUCUGCAUGAAGAAAGAGAGAAGGGAGGGAGGGAAGGAAGGAAGGAAUGAAAGGGAAAGAGAGAAGAUAGAAGAAGUGAGAAAAGAAAAAAAAAAAAAGAAACAGAGAAAGAGGAAAGAGAAGAAGGAAAGGAAGGAAGAAGAAAAGAAAAGGUAAUUUAAUGCCUGUAGUCCAGUGGUCAUCCCACAAGGACUGGCCUGAAUGAUAACAUCACCAUUGGGACAAAGGGGCAGGGACCAUACAGAAGUAAAUGUGUAAUGACCAUGAAAAGGUAAAUAAAUCUAAGACCUUCAUUAGGAAGUCUCUGUAACAUUUGGGGAGAGAAAGUUUGGAGAAGGAGAAGGUCUCCUCAAAGAGUGUUAUUUGAAGACUCUGAAGGGUACAGUUUGGGGAUUAUGGCAACUUUCAAUCUUGCCUUCUUGCUCGGGAGAGUCAGUGAGAAGAUAUUUCUUUUGGCUGGAGGAGCCAGCUGACCCAAGUUCCUAUCCAGCUCUUUGACUUUUGGCUUCCCUGGUGGGCAGACGUUGAAGAGUCUACCUGCAGUAGAGGGAGACCCAGGUUCAAUCCCUGCGUCAGGAAGAUUCCCCCGGAGGAAGAAAUGGGAACCCACUGCAGUGUUCUUGCUUGGAAAAUCCCAUGGACGGAGGAGUCUGGCGGGCUACAGUCCAUGGGGUUGCAAAGAGUCAGACACAACUAAGCGACUUGACUUUCUUUCUUUCUUUGACUUUUGUGCUUUUGGGUAAGUGACCACGUCUCUAAGCCCAGGGUUCUAUCUUAUAGGAUAAUACCUUUACCUGUGUACCACAUGGGUGCAUGUGUGCCUGCUCCGUUGCUCAGUCAUAUCCGACUCUUUGUGAUCCUAUGGACUGUAGCUCACCAGGCUCCUCUGUCUAUGAAAUUGUCCAGGCAAGAAUUCUGGAGCGGGUUGCCAUUUCCUCCUCAAGGGGGUCUUCCUGACUCAGGGAUUGAACCCGCGUCUCUUGUGUCUCCUGCACUGGCAGGCAGACGCUUGGCCGCUGCACCACCUGGGAAUUCCACGUGCCACAUUGUUGUCGUUCAGCCGCUAAGUUGUGUCCGACUCUGCGGCCCUAGGGGCUGCAGCAUGCCAGGCAUCCCUGUCCUUCACUGUGUCCCAGAGGUUGCCAUGGACCACAUAGAUUAAAGAUUUAAGCAAGGUUUGUUGCAUCAGUUAACACUGUACAGUACAUAGUGACACCCAAUUAAGGACUCUGAUGAGCUAUACUCUCCUUGUUUACUGCCAUCCCAAGUAUGGAAACUUCUUGGGUUGACGUCUUAAGGAAGUGGGGUACUAUGCUGCUAUUUUUCUUUUAACAUCUUGACAUUUUGUUUCCACCUCAUUCUUUCUCAUCCGCCCCUUGUAAAUCAUCCCUAAACUCUGGAUGGUUCAAGAAUAGAAGGCAUUUGUUUCAAUUACUGGAUUAAUGUUAAGUGUCAGGAAAUUCAUUUGAAAUUCUUCAUCUUCCCGUCUGCUUCGACCUCACAUAGCCUAGGAAGGAAGGCUUGAUAAUUCAGCCAACGCAAGCAGAAAGGACGUGAGAAAAAGUUAGGGGGUAGUUCCUAUGCUGUUGGUAUGGAAAGAUGUACAAGCUACCUACAGUGUUAAUGCAAGCGUGGAACAAACCCAGUUUCCUUGUUCUGAUUGGUAGGCAGAAUAAUGGUCCCUCAAAGGUGUCCACAUCCUAAUUCCCAGAACCCGUGAAUAUGUUCCAUUAUGUAGUAAAAAGGGGGCUUUGCAGAUGUGAUUAAUAUGAGGGACCGCGCAAUGAGAAGAUAAAAAACGCAGAGAAAAAAAGUCAGAGAGAUGUGGCAGAAGAGAAGGCAGGAGAAGGACUCAACCUUCCGUUGCUAGCUUUGAAGAUGGACGGGGAAGAUCUUUGGAUGGACAGCAUCUAGAAUCUGGGAACGGCCCUCCUCUGACAGCCAGUAAGCAAACACGGACGUCCUGUCUACAGCUGUGUGCACCGAAUCUGCCAACCACCUGAGUGUGCACGAAAGCAGAUUCUCCCCUGGAGUCUCCAGAAAAGAACACAGCCGUGCUGAUGCCUUGACUUUAGUCCACUGAAACUCAUGCCAGACUUCCUACCUACAGAGCUGUGAUCAUAGAUUUGUGUUGUUUGAAGCUGCUAAAUUUGUGUUAAUUUGUUAUGGUGGCAAGAGAAAACUAAUAAACCCUGUAAGGGUGGAGAGGGAGAAGUGGGCUGCUUUUCUUCCCCUGCUCCUCGUCCUGCUUCAAUUUUCUCAUCAGGGACACAGUAAAAUUUUGCAGAUAAGCUAUGCACAUUUCAUUGUGAAGUGCUUAAUCCAUAGGACUGACAUUUUCUUUAUGUUGGGAGUUAGGGAUCUGAUAUAAAAUCCAAUAGAUAUUAAAUAAUUUGAAUACUCAAUUUAAAGUCAUUUGUGAUUUUCUUGGAUUUUCUCUUUAAACAAUCAUAUUAUCUAUGAAAGUGUUUUUCCUUUCUACUUAUACUGUGUGUGUGUGCAUGCCCAAACUGGGACAUGUAGGAUAUUGUUGAAUAGAAUGAUAAUAGACAUCCUUGUCUUGUUCCCAGCUUUAAGAGAAUGCCCGUAAAGUUUCAGCAUGUAUGUACAACAUGUAUGACAUUUUAAUGCAUUUUAUCGUUGAUUGGGUUAGAGAAGUGUCCUAUUUUUAGUUUGCUAAUAGUUUUUUUUAAUAUAUCAUGAGUGGAUGUUAAAUUUUAUUAAAUGGUUUUUUUUUCUGCCUCUAUUGAGAUGAACACAAGGUUUUUUCUUAUAGUGUGUUAAUGAGGUGAAUUGCGUGAAUACAUUUGCUAAUGUUGAACCAGCCUUACAUUUCUGGGAGAAACCAAACUUGUCAUUUCAAAAACUGUUCUGUUUAGAAUUACUGCAUUUAUAUUUAUGGACAAGAGGGGAUUGUGUUUAUCUUUCUCAUACUGUCUUCGAUAGUUUUUUUUAUCUAUGUGUUUAGACAUUUGUGCAUUUAUUUUUGGCUGUGCCGGGUCUUGGCUGCUGUGAGCGGGCAUUUCUCUAGUAGCGACAAGCAGGGGCUGCCCUGGAGCUGUGGUGCUCGGGCUCCUUACUGCGGUGGCUUCCGUUGCAGAGCACAGGCUCUAGGUUUACAGGCUUCAGUGGUUGUGGCACCGGGUUUAGUUGCUCUGUGUCAUGUGGGAUCUUCCCAGACCAGGGGUUGAACUGGUGUUUCCUGUAAUGCAAGGCAGAUUCUUAACCACUGGACCACCAGGAAAGCCCCUUUGAUAGUUUUGGCUAGAAUUAUACAGAUAGUUUGGGGCUUCCCUGGUGGCUCAGACAGUAAAGCGUCUGCCUGCAAUGUGGGAGUCCCGGGUUCAAUCCCUGGGUCGGGAAGAUCCCUUGGAGGAGGAAAUGGCAACCCACUGCAGUACUCUUGCCUGGAAAAUUCCAUGGACUGAGGGGCCUGGUAGGCUACAGUCCGUGGGGUCGCCAAGAGUCGGGCACGACUGAACGGCUUCACUCACUCACACAAUAGUUCUUCUUGUCCUUGUGCUCGGUGGUU
RNAcentral lists this long non-coding RNA (5494 nucleotides) under Bos grunniens (domestic yak). RNAcentral describes it as "lncRNA (ENSBGRG00000012392.1)". The record is from RNAcentral. Lineage: Eukaryota; Metazoa; Chordata; Mammalia; Artiodactyla; Bovidae.